AUAUUGCUCAAUGGGGGAAACCCUGAAGCAGCAACGCCGCGUGAAGGAUGAAGGCCUUCGGGUUGUAAACUUCUUUGAUUGGGGACGAAUAAUGACGGUACCCAAGGAACAAGCCACGGCUAACCACGUGCCAGCAGCCGCGGUAAUACGUAGGUGGCGAGCGUUGUCCGGAAUUACUGGGUGUAAAGGGCGUGUAGGCGGGGAUGUAAGUCAGAUGUGAAAUUCCGGGGCUCAACCCCGGCGCUGCAUCUGAAACUAUGUCUCUUGAGUGCUGGAGAGGAAAGCGGAAUUCCUAGUGUAGCGGUGAAAUGCGUAGAUAUUAGGAGGAACACCAGUGGCGAAGGCGGCUUUCUGGACAGUAACUGACGCUGAGGCGCGAAAGCGUGGGGAGCAAACAGG
This 399-nucleotide ribosomal RNA is filed under the name uncultured bacterium. Its description in RNAcentral is "partial 16S ribosomal RNA". It matches the Rfam family "Bacterial small subunit ribosomal RNA", at positions 361 to 776 of the family's 1533-position model. The record is from RNAcentral.